RNAcentral lists this ribosomal RNA (490 nucleotides) under uncultured bacterium. RNAcentral describes it as "partial 16S ribosomal RNA". It matches the Rfam family "Bacterial small subunit ribosomal RNA", at positions 30 to 507 of the family's 1533-position model. The record is from RNAcentral.
AUUGAACGCUGGCGGCAGGCCUAACACAUGCAAGUCGAACGGUAACAGGAAGCAGCUUGCUGCUUUGCUGACGAGUGGCGGACGGGUGAGUAAUGUCUGGGAAACUGCCUGAUGGAGGGGGAUAACUACUGGAAACGGUAGCUAAUACCGCAUAACGUCGCAAGACCAAAGGGGGGGACCUUAGGGCCUCUUGCCAUCGGAUGUGCGCAGAUGGGAUUAGCUAGUAGGUGGGGUAACGGCUCACCUAGGCGACGAUCCCUAGCUGGUCUGAGAGGAUGACCAGCCACACUGGAACUGAGACACGGUCCAGACUCCUACUGGAGGCAGCAGUGGGGAAUAUUGCACAAUAGGCGCAAGCCUGAUGCAGCCAUGCCGCGUGUAUGAAGAAGGCCUUCGGGUUGUAAAGUACUUUCAGCGGGGAGGAAGGGAGUAAAGUUAAUACCUUGUCUCAUUGACGUUACCCGCAGAAGAAGCACCGGCUAACUCCGUG